GGUCUUGGAAAGCAGCCACAAAGUAACACAAUGUUCCGGCUGUACUGUAGCUGUACCGCUGCCGCUGCUGAUGAGAACACUGUGUUCCAACAGACACCCUGACCUGUAACCCGUUCCGUGCCAGGCCGGGAACAGCCUGUUCCGCAGCAGGCUGUCCUCUCUCUCUUCCUCUCUCUGCUCAGCUGACAACACAUAUCAACAACACGGCGCUGCCUGCCUGCGCUCAUAAACGGGGAUGUGUAAGCACCGAAAUAAAUGUUCACCUCAGAGCCCGAUAAGACGCGCGCUUUGACGGAUUACUUUGUCUGAGAGCGACGAUUUUAGUUCCAAGUGGUCAGACUUUUGUUGUAAUACAUGGAUCUGUUGCCACUUUGCUCUUUAAAACGUGCCUUGUCUUUCAUGGGAAUUUUACUGGGACAAAGAAGAAAUACUCUAGGCAUGUGCCUCAAGAAGAUGGAUUUGGUGACUCCUAUGUUUCUAACCUAUGAACUUAUAUGUUUCUUACAUUUAUUGUAACUAUCUUACAUUCUUUCUCAAUAUAUUAUAAACCUGUAUACUUAAUAUGUGUAAUCAAUAGCAUUACAAAGAUACUUCAGUUUCUUAAAACAUAAAUGUGUUGUUGGCUAUUAUGGAUAACAAUUUAACUUUCAUUUCAGUCUUUAUUAUCUCCAGCUAUAACUGGUAAAAAAGAUGCAUGCAUCACUUAUAAUGAUGGCCAAGUGAUGACCCUGGUUGAAAGUAAAGAAGGCUGCAUUAUCAUCCCUCAUCUGAGAUCAUAGAAGAUUUUAACUUUUAUAUACUAACUGAUGUCACUUGUCUGUUUGCCAAUGUUCCAAAAUGUGACCAUAUUAUAGGCUGAUAUGCAUGGAAAUUACAUUUUAAUUUCUCUGGAGAGGAGACGUGUAAAGACAUUUUCCUAUCUUUGUUUCCAGUGAUAAAGAGAUGAAAAUAUGUAUGCAUCUCCUAUGAUAAUAAUGAUAAACUCAUGACUUUGACUGUACUUUUACUUUACCUAAUUGCAUUUGACAAUAACUCAGCAUUUUUACCUAUGAACUUUACUUAUUAAGGCUAUAUUUAAGUUCCUUGAUUGUAAUUCUUUUUACUGUUAUCAGAUUAUGCUAUUGACCUACUGUGUAUUGUUUACAUUUCUAAUUUAUGGCACAUUUUGGCAUUUAUACGAUAGCUGACAUCACUUGUUUCUAUGCAAAUGUGCUUUAAUGUCCCAAAACUAACCAUACUAUUGGCUACUAUGGAAUAAACUAAAAGUUUAAUUUCUCGUGAGAGGAACGCAUUGACUCAAUUUAUGCAAACAACUUAAUUGAGCAUCUUCAGUAUUAUAGAGAUCACCCAUAUGAAUCCAGUGAUAAAUCUGGACGAAUGUUUACGUUACAUCGUUUUUUACAAUGCUUUUAACUUAUUUCUCCAAUGAUUAAAUAACAGUGUAAACACACCUUGUUUAGGUGACAUCAUACGCGAUUCCCUUUGGUAAUGUUGAGAAGUUUAUUGUUUAAUAUUUUAUGAGCUUGUUUUAAAAGUCAAACCUUAAUCUUUUAAGAAAAACCCUUUCAGAAGCAACAAAAGAAAUCCUAUUAUAAAACUUUAAAUUUCCAAGUUGUUUUCAAGCACUUUUCGAGUUGUAUAAAUAGUGUUAGCAGACCAAAGUCAACAUUUGUGUAACUAAAUGUCAAAUAAAUGUAAAUGGUUAUUAAAUUCAGUGAAGUGCAGUAAAAAUAAAGUGCUGAAUAUUUUACAGUAUGAAGGCACAACAAAGCAACCCUAAAUACUGGUAAUAAAGAUACACAACACAGAAUGUGAACUUAAAUUAGUAGACAUUAGCCAACUGUUUGUAUUAUAUUCCAUGGUGUUGUAAGCCUUAUAUAAAUGUUUCAGGUUUUUAUGAAGCUUAGAGAGGAAAAUAAGAAUAGUAUAUGUUAAAUAGGUAACAUAAGUAUAGACUAAGGUACUUGGUUAAUUACGCUUCCAAACAUUUAAUGUGUCUGUGGUAUUAACAAAAAUGUUGAAAGCAAUUAGCGAUGUGAUAAAAAGAAUUUAAAAUAAAAUUAUUUAUUCUUCUUUUUUAUUUUGCUGUUAAAGAACAUUUAAGGAAAACAGAUUCAAAUUCAGCUGCAUUUAGUAUGCAGUUUGAGGGGUUGUACAGUAAAUCAAAGAUUUAGACAAUUUCUAAACUGUUAAGGUUCCCUGUGAUUUUUAAUGCUGCUGUACAUAGUACAUAGGUCAUGUAGAAUAACCCAAAAUAAUUAGUCUUAUGUGAAAUAUUAACUUGUGUUUUAGUAAUAAAAUAUUGUGUUAUUCAAGUGUGUGGGGUGUGUCAUUUAUUACAAUUCAGUAAUAAAUACAGUUUUAAAACGAAUAACAUCUAUAAAUGCAUUCAGGUAAAGCAGGAUUAUACCUAAUUUCCCAAAGUUUUCAGUUUAUAAAGUCAGUGCAAGGACACCCUGAGUCUCAUUUAUAUAUCAGAACAAAGAUUAAGGCCGUCCACAUAUUAAAGUUAAAGUAAUAUUUUGAUUUAAGUUGUAUGUGUAACAGUUGCUUAAUAAGAGAACAGAAAAGGGCAGGCGAACAUUAAGGAGGAAACAUUAAUGUUCCCACAGUUUCCAGGUAGACUAAUACUGAGCUGAAUUGUUCAUGGUACAUUGAAGCACCUGUAAAUACGGACCAUAAAAGGAUACUGUAAGAGGGAACCUGGGUUAUCAAACAUCAUCCAAGUUUGUAAGUAUGCAUUCAUACUUGAUGUUUUAAGUAUGACCUUAAACAUAAAAACACUAUUUGGCGGUUUUUGCAAAUCUUUUAGGUUUCUGUGAAACUUGGACGAGAAAGCGUAAGUCCCCAAGUUACUUUAUUCUGACAAAAGUUUUUGUUUUUGUUUUGAGUCAGACAUAUUUAAAAGAGAAGUGUUUAAAACAAAAAAUCUAACAAAGUAAUAUAAAUCAUUUUAAGUAUGGGCAAUGAUAAUCAACAAAAUAAGCCCCUUUCACUAGAAAUACACCAAUUUGGCUUUUCUGGGGGCCGAUACAAAAAUUCAAACCUCUUUAUUCAGAUUACUUUUCCCUAACAAACAUAUGCUGGAGUUUCUUGCACAGAGAAAUAAGAAAUUCUAUGUUUAUCACUAUUUAUGCAUCUGGCUGGUUGAUUAGUGCACAUUUCAGUAAUAAUAUUUUAAUGAGUUACUAUGUUCUAGGAAAGUCCAAUUUAUAAUGCUGUUUAAGAGGCUGUUUUGCAAGUUAAAGAGUAUUUUAGGCAAAAACUACCUGUAAUUUAUUUGCUUCUCAAAUAUUUUAAACAGUUAUUUUAACUUUGUUUCUGUUGUACAUUAGUUUAUAUCUAAUUUUCUCUCUUCUCUCGUCACAUUGUUUUUUUGUUUAUAUGUUAUAUGUUUUUUAACUUGUUUCACCUUGUUUUUGCAACUUGCACUUUGAUAAUACUAGUGUGGUUCUAAAUGUAAUUUAUAAAAACGUUGAUAUUGUCAUUUGUAGUAAAUACAGUGUGGAUAAAUUAGUUGUGCAACAGCUGAAUUUUAAAACAUAGGACUCAUUUAGGUUAACCUUAAGUCUUUAGCCUUCUCUGAAAUACUGUAUGCAGUUAGACAUUAUAUGUAAAUUUAACUAAAGUUGUGUUGAAAAGUCAUAAUGGUGGAUGUGUUUUGCCCAAAUGUCUUCCAUCUCUCAGGUUCUAAUGCACUUUUAUAAAAGGAAUUCAAAUAAAGUAAAAUUCAGCUCAUUUCCAGGAGUUUUCCAUUUUUGAAGUCCUUGUGAGAAAGCUGUAGUGUCUCCAUGACAUUCCUUAAUGUCGCCAUCUGCUUGUUAAUGAACCACUGAGAAUCUGACAUUAUUUUGAUCUUGAACUGUGUUUCAAUAAAAAAAAAAAUUAUAUCAUUGCUUGCAUAGCUCUUAUGUUUUAAAAUGGGCAAGAGUGUUUCCCAAAACUUGUACUAAAGGCCAGAUAUUUUAAAUGAAGUUGUGUGGAAAAGCAAAUGAAAUUUCCACAUUAAAAUGAUGUAUAACAUAUUUGGCAAUGCUUUGAUGCUUUUGUGCUUUUAAUUAUUCUGGUGUUAGUGUCUCAACAUGAGACAUUGACUUUUUUAUGGAGCUUCUUAUUAUAAUAUUUAUUUUUUAAAUAAAAUGUUUUACAAAAGACAAAAA
Girardinichthys multiradiatus is the source of this 4160-nucleotide long non-coding RNA. RefSeq lists it as uncharacterized. The transcript has 2 exons. The record is from RefSeq and is a predicted model, not a curated record. NCBI's taxonomy places the organism in Eukaryota, Metazoa, Chordata, Actinopteri, Cyprinodontiformes, Goodeidae.